GGAAUUUUGGACAAUGGGCGAAAGCCUGAUCCAGCAAUGCCGCGUGAGUGAAGAAGGCCUUCGGGUUGUAAAGCUCUUUUGUCAGGGAAGAAACGGUGAGAGCUAAUAUCUCUUGCUAAUGACGGUACCUGAAGAAUAAGCACCGGCUAACUACGUGCCAGCAGCCGCGGUAAUACGUAGGGUGCAAGCGUUAAUCGGAAUUACUGGGCGUAAAGCGUGCGCAGGCGGUUUUGUAAGUCUGAUGUGAAAUCCCCGGGCUCAACCUGGGAAUGGCGAUGGUGACUGCAAGGCUAGAGUUUGGCAGAGGGGGGUAGAAUUCCACGUGUAGCAGUGAAAUGCGUAGAUAUGUGGAGGAACACCGAUGGCGAAGGCAGCCCCCUGGGUCAAAACUGACGCUCAUGCACGAAAGCGUGGGGAGCAAACAGGAUUAGAUACCCGAG
This 440-nucleotide ribosomal RNA is filed under the name uncultured Rugamonas sp. RNAcentral describes it as "bacterial SSU rRNA". It matches the Rfam family "Bacterial small subunit ribosomal RNA", at positions 358 to 790 of the family's 1533-position model. Lineage: Bacteria; Pseudomonadati; Pseudomonadota; Betaproteobacteria; Burkholderiales; Oxalobacteraceae. The record is from RNAcentral.